Molecule: long non-coding RNA, 356 nt
Filed under: Mytilus galloprovincialis (Mediterranean mussel)
Lineage: Eukaryota; Metazoa; Mollusca; Bivalvia; Mytilida; Mytilidae
Source: RNAcentral
AAACUCAGUAACCAUCAAAGACCGAGCAUACCAAGCCCUUAUUAGACCAAAACUUGAAUACUGCUGCACUGUCUGGGACCCCUACACAACAGAGAACAUUAACUCCAUAGAAAAAGUUCAAAGACGUGCAGCGAGAUAUGUAUGCUCAAACUACAAAUAUACUGAAAGUGUAACAAACAUGAUUAACACACUCCACUGGCCAACAUUACAAGAAAGGAGACUCAAAAGCAGAUUAAAUAUGUUCCAUAGAAUAACAAACAACAAAAUUGCCAUACCACAUACUGACAUAUUAAUUAAAAGCCAAUCAAACACCAGGUCUAGCCACGAACAAACAUACCGACAAAUUCGAUGCAGCA